AUCCAGCUGACGAGUCCCAAAUAGGAGGAAACGCGCGUCAAACUAGAC
RNAcentral lists this non-coding RNA (48 nucleotides) under Schistosoma mansoni. The record is from RNAcentral. Lineage: Eukaryota; Metazoa; Platyhelminthes; Trematoda; Strigeidida; Schistosomatidae.